GCUUCCUUCGUCUAGUGGUUAGGACACUGGCCUCUCACGCCGGCAACAGGGGUUCGAGCCCCCUAGGAAGCGCCA
RNAcentral lists this transfer RNA (75 nucleotides) under Achromatium sp. WMS2. Its description in RNAcentral is "tRNA-Glu". It matches the Rfam family "tRNA". Rfam says of the family: Transfer RNA (tRNA) molecules are approximately 80 nucleotides in length. Their secondary structure includes four short double-helical elements and three loops (D, anti-codon, and T loops). Lineage: Bacteria; Pseudomonadati; Pseudomonadota; Gammaproteobacteria; Thiotrichales; Thiotrichaceae. The record is from RNAcentral.